Molecule: ribosomal RNA, 86 nt
Filed under: Metabacillus malikii
Lineage: Bacteria; Bacillati; Bacillota; Bacilli; Caryophanales; Bacillaceae
Description: partial 23S ribosomal RNA
Rfam family: Bacterial large subunit ribosomal RNA
Source: RNAcentral
GGAAGAUGACCAGGUUGAUAGGUCUGAGGUGGAAGUGUGGUGACACAUGGAGCUGACAGAUACUAAUCGUUCGAGGACUUAACCAA